Small nucleolar RNA from Tachyglossus aculeatus (Australian echidna), 138 nucleotides. NCBI's taxonomy places the organism in Eukaryota, Metazoa, Chordata, Mammalia, Monotremata, Tachyglossidae. The record is from RefSeq and is a predicted model, not a curated record.
CCCCUCUCAGGGUCACACCUGGAGAGUUUCCAUUACUCCAGUAGUCUCAAUGAUGGGAGGGAGAGUCAAACAGAGGCCUACCCAUUCCAUUCCUAGCUUGGGCAGUAGCUAGUGAGUGGAAGACAAUCUGCUACAAGU